Molecule: long non-coding RNA, 129 nt
Organism: Strigops habroptila (Kakapo)
Lineage: Eukaryota; Metazoa; Chordata; Aves; Psittaciformes; Psittacidae
Exons: 3
Source: RefSeq, a predicted model, not a curated record
CACAGCUUCUCUGGGCACCCUGUGCCAGGGCCUCACCACCCUCACAGGGGAGAACUUCUGCUUAAGAUCCCAUCUCAAUCUCCGCUCUGGCAGGUUAAAGCCCUUCCCCUUUGUCCUAUCCCUACAGGC